CCCGCCGUCCAGUCAGUCGGUGGAUCGUUCAGAAUUCAGAUUCAACAAAAUUUGCAAAGAUUUGUCAUUGCUCCAAACUUGCCAUUAGGACUAAGAAGAGAUUAUGUUGGAGGUGGCGUUAAGGGACCAAGGCAAGACUGCUGAAAAAAAGGGAACAUUUUAUGAAGACAACCCCCAAUAAGGAAAGCAAACCCCAUCAAUAGCAGCAAGCCAGACAUCAUGGAGAUGGAGUCACCCUGAUCAAGACCAGCCAGCAGUUCAUGACCUUCAAUAAAGACACGCGGGCUCCUCUCUGGUCAUUUACUACCAGCCAGGGUCUGAUGAGAGGAAGUGGGCGUAUAUUUGAAAUUUACCUGAAGCCAUCAACCUCUCCUUCUUGCUCAAAAAAUCUAACCUUGCCGGCGAGAGGAUCCUCGAGAGCAACAUCUCGCAGCAUCAAGCAGCAGCAGCCACCAGCUGGAUGGAGGGAGUUUGUGUUGAUCGGCAAUAAAAAAAGUCGCCCCUCGGUACCUCGGAGGCCCGUGGGCCGUAUCUCGCCGAAUUUGAGCCGCCGCCGGAUCUCGCCAACCUGCCGAGGACCAGGACUAUCGCCGUGCCCACGCCCACAAGGCAUGACACGCUUUUACUGAUGUGAGUCACGAGAUGACCCCGCGGCCGAGAAGCACUGCAACUUAAAAGGCACCGAGGUGCGUGCACAAUGGAGCAAGAUACGGUCGGCCGGGUGGAAGAAAAGAAUGCGGCGGCGGCGGCCAACGCAGGCAACGGGUACACAAAACAUCAAUCUAGGGCUGGAAAAGACCUCCGAAAGCUGCGAGAGUUAUUGAUCUUGGAAAUAUUAUUACAGCACAUGAUAAAUGGCGGUGUGUGCUC
Molecule: long non-coding RNA, 870 nt
Organism: Neocloeon triangulifer
Lineage: Eukaryota; Metazoa; Arthropoda; Insecta; Ephemeroptera; Baetidae
Exons: 5
Source: RefSeq, a predicted model, not a curated record